Molecule: long non-coding RNA, 201 nt
Filed under: Chinchilla lanigera (long-tailed chinchilla)
Lineage: Eukaryota; Metazoa; Chordata; Mammalia; Rodentia; Chinchillidae
Description: lncRNA (ENSCLAG00000028789.1)
Source: RNAcentral
GCCGGAUGCAGCAGUCUUUGCAACAAGCCAAAGGUCUCCACAGAGGGUGACUCCAGAGCAGAUGGAAUUUAUGAAAUAACUUUAUGAGACCUCAUGCCAGGCUGUGGCCUACAGUGCAGGCAAGAUGGCGCCCACCUGAGUUCCAGGGUGAGCUGGCCCAGCACCAAGAACCCGCAGGUACCUUUCAUUCCUUUGGCCCCA